AACCGUGAUGAGGACACUCUAAGAAGAGGUCUUUGAAUCGUUCCAUACAUCAGAGAAUGAUUCAUUGGGUCUUUGGCAAAACUGGAGAAUGUCAUUCCUAAGCUU
Molecule: small nucleolar RNA, 105 nt
Filed under: Cephalotus follicularis
Lineage: Eukaryota; Viridiplantae; Streptophyta; Magnoliopsida; Oxalidales; Cephalotaceae
Description: Plant small nucleolar RNA R71
Rfam family: Plant small nucleolar RNA R71
About the family: R71 is a member of the C/D box family of snoRNAs containing the C (UGAUGA) and D (CUGA) box motifs. Multiple nearly identical copies of this snoRNA have been identified in Arabidopsis, and it is thought to function as a 2'-O-ribose methylation guide for 18S ribosomal RNA.
Source: Rfam by way of RNAcentral